AUUCGAGCUUCGCAAAAUGGAACUUUACGAAAAUAGAUUGCAGUUUUUAACAUGAUGGCACAUUGGGAUCAACAAACGAACAUGUUAAUGAUAAUAUACAUGGCAACCAAAGGAAUGGCAUCAAAGUAGACAUAUCCUAGAGCAGUUCUCACCAAGGAAUCAUAUGCAUAAGACCUAUGGACAAUGUGCAAUCAUCCACGCAAUAUUGAACAAAAUAAGAGUUUAGACAUAUUCAC
Molecule: long non-coding RNA, 236 nt
Filed under: Hordeum vulgare
Lineage: Eukaryota; Viridiplantae; Streptophyta; Magnoliopsida; Poales; Poaceae
Description: long non-coding RNA (HVUL_LNC019163)
Source: RNAcentral